GACGAACGCUGGCGGCGUGCUUAGCACAUGCAAGUCGAACGGGAUUUAGUAAACGGAAGCCUCGGUGGAAGAUUACUAAUGAGAGUGGCGAACGGGUGAGUAACGCGUGAGCAACCUGCCUAUGACAGUGGGAUAGCCUCGGGAAACCGGGAUUAAUACCGCAUAAAAUCGUAGAAACACAUGUUUCAACGGUCAAAGAUUUAUCGGUCAUAGAUGGGCUCGCGUCUGAUUAGCUAGUUGGUGAGAUAACAGCCCACCAAGGCGACGAUCAGUAGCCGGUCUGAGAGGAUGAACGGCCACAUUGGAACUGAGACACGGUCCAAACUCCUACGGGAGGCAGCAGUGGGGAAUAUUGCACAAUGGGGGAAACCCUGAUGCAGCGACGCCGCGUGAACGAAGAAGGUAUUCGUAUCGUAAAGUUCUGUCCUAUGGGAAGAUAAUGACAGUACCAUAGAAGAAAGCUCCGGCUAAAUACGUGC
This 479-nucleotide ribosomal RNA is filed under the name uncultured bacterium. RNAcentral describes it as "partial 16S ribosomal RNA". It matches the Rfam family "Bacterial small subunit ribosomal RNA", at positions 28 to 508 of the family's 1533-position model. The record is from RNAcentral.